UGCCUUUGUGUUGCCCGUUCAUUCACCUCCAGAGUGAAUGUGGUGUCAAAAAAAGGCAAACGAGCUCUUGAGGAGACCCCAUGGGGAGCUGGUUCUUUACCUUGCUCCUUCUGGGCUUUGCGAGAACAACA
This is a small nucleolar RNA of Nothoprocta perdicaria, 131 nucleotides long. The record is from Ensembl. NCBI's taxonomy places the organism in Eukaryota, Metazoa, Chordata, Aves, Tinamiformes, Tinamidae.